This is a long non-coding RNA of Pseudophryne corroboree (corroboree frog), 666 nucleotides long. RefSeq lists it as uncharacterized. Lineage: Eukaryota; Metazoa; Chordata; Amphibia; Anura; Myobatrachidae. The record is from RefSeq and is a predicted model, not a curated record. The transcript has 3 exons.
UGGAUGGGGUGUGGCUUGGCAGCUAUCGUGACCAGACGAUCCUUGCAGGAGAUCCUGUUAGGAAAGGUUUUUUGGGCCGAUAUAAGCCUUCCUGCUGCACCCAAACCCGCCCUGUCAGCACCUUAUUGUCCCGCUGCUCUGACUGUGCUGCCGGGGUGAAGGCUCCUGGAUCCGGGAGAGGCCUCCUGCCUCUCUGCAGGUUGCGGCCCACCCUUCUCCCACAAGCCGGGGACUAAAUUCCUUACCGAGUCCCGGUCCUCCGGCCCCGAUUGGCGUGAUGCAGGCCGCUGCGCUCCUGCUCUCCGGACUGUGCCCUCCUUCACGCGGCCUGCCUAUGACCCCUGCCGGGACACCCGUGGUAGCCGCCGCUUGCCCGCGCGGCUAGGGGGUCUUUCACCUGCCGUCUCGGGCCAUGUCUGCAGGUUGUUGCUGGAGGGGCUGCGCUGGGACCGGAUGCACACCACCUUCUCAGAGAUGCUGUCUCGAGCCUCCAGGAUGGAGCAAUUGAAAAGCAUAGCACAAUAAUGCAGAUUUUGUACAUGGAAAACUACAAAGGAAAAGGAAAUAUUCCAGAACAUGAUAUUUGGACUGUUAUCUGCUGUUGUGAGAACUGCCUGUAAACCUGACCUGCUAAUCCUGACUAUGAAGCUGUAUCCUGCCUGAGGG